UUUUUGAGGCAAUCUUGGAAGCAGAUGCCUCAGCGAGUUCUGCUUUAUCCUCCCACACCACGCUUCUCAAGGGAAGGACCUCAUCUGUAUUCCCAGCCUUGGCACAUCCUAAAUGAAUAAUAAUACAUAUUCACCACCCUGGCCUCGGGACUCUGCUUUGUGCCAUAACUUAGAUCAGGAAAGAUUGCUGAUCCUCUUGUUAUUCCAUGGAAUGUUCUGCAGGACCACAGUUUAGCUGACACCAGGCUAAUCAACCAGGUAAACCUGCCUCCAGUCCUGCCCCUGGAUUUACCCAGUUCACAGACGCGUAUUCUCUGGCUGAUCAGUAUCUCCAGCAACAUGACUGCUGG
Molecule: non-coding RNA, 350 nt
Organism: Odocoileus virginianus texanus
Lineage: Eukaryota; Metazoa; Chordata; Mammalia; Artiodactyla; Cervidae
Source: RefSeq, a predicted model, not a curated record